UCCUAUGAUGAUAAAGGGCCAGUGGCCCGACCUUAUAACCCAGCUCGUCGAAUGCCUCGCCAUCAGCGCGGAGUGCAUACUGAGAUAUAAACCCCAUUCUGAACC
This 105-nucleotide small nucleolar RNA is filed under the name Madurella mycetomatis. Its description in RNAcentral is "A. fumigatus snoRNA Afu_304". It matches the Rfam family "A. fumigatus snoRNA Afu_304". The record is from Rfam by way of RNAcentral. Lineage: Eukaryota; Fungi; Ascomycota; Sordariomycetes; Sordariales.